GGAGCGUGCCGUACGGCACGCUCCGG
RNAcentral lists this unclassified non-coding RNA (26 nucleotides) under synthetic construct. Its description in RNAcentral is "RNA (5'-R(*GPPP*GP*AP*GP*CP*GP*UP*GP*CP*CP*GP*GP*GP*CP*AP*CP*GP*CP*UP*CP*CP*GP*G... from synthetic construct (PDB 5JBG, chain X)". The record is from RNAcentral.